Bacillus sp. TS-2 is the source of this 110-nucleotide non-coding RNA. The record is from Rfam. Lineage: Bacteria; Bacillati; Bacillota; Bacilli; Caryophanales; Bacillaceae.
AGGGAAUGUCUCCUCACCUUUAUCUAUGGAGGCACUCGACUAUGCUGUGGGUUCAUCACCUUAGAUACAAUGUUAUCAGUGGUAUAGUGUGAGGGUGGGUUGAAUGCCCU